AGUGGUUUUAAAGCUGUGUAGUAUGUGUCUGAAAAUAUUAUAAAUCAUGUUUAAUGUCCUCUUAUCACUUCUCAUCAGUGAAGAGGUAGAUAAAAGUGAUGCAAAAUUACUAGUCAACUUUGGAAAUACAAAAAUCAGCUGUUGAAAAUAAAUUUGAUUAAUCUUCAGAAAAACAACAGUGGGUAUUUCCAGCUCUACCUAGGGAUUUGUGAAAUGUUCUAAUUACAUGGAGAAUAUGGUAUAAGAAUUAGCUAAUCUUAGAAUCACAGAAUUUUACCAGUAGAACAGAUGGCCUAAGAGAUCUGACUCCAUUAUUUUAUAACUGAGGAAAUGGAGGCCUUGUCCAAAGGAGUGGCUUAUUUGAAAUUGCACAGCUGGUUAAUGAAGAGCCCAGAUCCAGCCAUAAUUCCUGUCUCUCAGAGAAGUUUCCCCUCCCAUUCUGCUAGUACAGCCCCAUAUGCCAAUUCCCAGCAGCUGGAACUCCUCUGACAGAGGGACAAGGCCUUUAGCAUAACUGUGCCUGAGCAAAAUCCAUCCAGUCGAUUUUUCCUUUCUCCCUGCAGGCCUUCACCUAAGCUUUCCCCUGCUAUGGUCCUACUUAUUCCUUCCUCACUGAGGCAUUCCAGUCCUUAACCUGAUCCCUCAAUGAGUCCAUAGUGGCCACUCACAAGUCGGACCCAUUAACCAGGCCAAUAUGCUCAGCUAGAGACCUAAAUAAAAUUUCCCAUACGGUUUCAGUAUGGCCAACAAAGAUUAUCCCCCAGCCUGGGAUCCUUGAACCCCUUGGUAAACAACUGGCAUGAGGUUCAACUUGAGAAACCUUUUAAAAAUGUUUAGAGGCCCCUUUUAUUUUUUCCAUUGAGACUGAAACUAACUGAAUGAACAUCAAUGGUCAAAAUGCAUAUUCUUAUGAUUUAGGUCAUACGACCUAUUUUAUUAAGUAGACGAGCAUUUUUAAGAAAACGAUUUUAACCAACAAAAUAUUAGUAUCUGGGCACAUUUGAGAUGAAUACAGCUUUGUAAUCUUUCAUCCAUAAAUGAAAUCACUAGCCACGUCUUAAAGUCAGACAGUCCUACAGAUACAAAUUAUUUAUCAUUACCAAUCUACAGAGGAUCUCGGUACCAGAUAUGAGAAGGCAGCCUUGGAGCAGCUGAGCGGUAGAUAAGGACAGAUAGAAUCUUCAUACAUGCACAGAAUCUACCUUGCUGGGCAUUUCAUAUUCUGUAAACCUGAGUAGGGACAAAAUAAAAGGUUGUGAACCCCUAUUCAUGAUAGCCCAUGAAGGGCUUCAGCUUUAACACUUAAUGAAUCCAUCUAACAAGAUAUACCUGCUCCUUCAUCUUAUUCAUUUUUCAAGCUAAUGUCUUAUUGGACCUUAGAUAAAACACACACACACACACAAAGAGCAGCAAAGUCAUCCAAUAUAGAGAAACAAAGGAAGGACAGAAUGUCAACAGACAUUGUAAAGUUUCAUUUGGCACAUGCACAAAAAGUCAUUGUCCCAGCCAGGUGACCAUAUGCCUAUAACAUGGCAGAGCUGUUCUCUGGGCACCAAUCCAGGGCUUCAGCUACCACUUUCUAAUUUGGAUUAAUAAUUCAUUGUAUUACCUGAAAAGGUUGCAAUAAAAAAUAUCAUGUCACCUGAACCAUAUGGAAUCGCCCAUCCCAAGUUACACACUGUUUUCAGUGUUGUCUUGUGAAAUGAGUCUUCACUUUAUCCUGACUGUGGUAAUACACAGUCACUCCAUGAGAAUGCAAAAAGCAGCAUCUAUUGAGGGUGACAUGGCUAUAGGUUCCGUAAGGAAGAAAAGGAAAGAAGAGAGGAAAUGAGGAUGAUAAGAAGGGAAAUCAAUAUGUGUAGAGGCCUACCAUGUGCCAAGCAUACUGAGAACACACAAUCCUUAUGACAGUUCUGUAAGCAGGUAAUGGUACUGCCAUUGGAGAGAUGAGAAGACUAAAAUUUAGGAAAGGUAACUAAAUUACCCAUAUUCAGUCAUCUAGUUGGAAAGACUCCAAAUUCUUCAUGGAAAUGACCAGCUGAAUGGGCAAAGAAACAUACCUGAAAAAAAGAAAACCUAGAAAAUAGCUCCUAGGCAAUAUAUGAGCAGAUAUUUGAUGUGUGAGACAAAUUGAAUGCACAAGACCUGAGGACAUUUCAAAUAAUAUUAAUCAACUAGUAUUAGGAAGAAUUAGUCAGAACGCUUCAUGGAGAUGGGACUUGACAUGGCUCCAAAGCUUCCGCACUUAAAAUAAUGAGUCUCUCUGUAUGUAAAUACUGACCUAAUUCCUGAAGCUGAGGAACUCUGGAUGAGUGUGAAACUUAAAAGUAUUUGAUUUUGGACAGGAGGAGAUUCAGGCUGGCCAGAGUAAAAGGCUGAAGAUUGCAUCUCUCUUCUCUGUGAGGAGGGAGGAAGGAAGCAGAGAAGAGAGCUUCCUCUUCCAGCAGAAGCCCCUCCAGCUGGUUGAUAGAUCACAUCUGCAAUAAAAGGCAUCUUUUAUGUUCUUACUUCACCAAUAGGAGUUCCUGUCAUGGCUCAGUGGUUAACGAACUCAGCUAGUAUCCAUGAGGAUGCGGGUUCGAUCCCUGGCCUCACUCAGUGGGUUAAGGAUCACAGCAUUGCCAUGAGCUGUGGUAUAGUUUGCAGACGAGGCUUGGAUCUGGCAUCGUUGUGGCUGUGGCAUAGGCCAGCAGCUAUAGCUCCCAUUCGACCCCUCGCCUAGGAACCUCCAUAUGCUGGGCAUUUUUAUUUUUUAAAUUUUAUUAUUAUUUGUCUUUUUGUAUUUUUAGGGCCGCACCCAUGUAUAUGGAGGUUCCCAGGCUAAGGGUCCAAUCGGAGCUGUAGCUGACGGCCUACACCACAGCCACAACAAUGCAGGAUCCAAGCCGGUCUGCAAUCUAUACCACAGCUCACGGCAACACCGGAUCCUUAACCCACUGAGAAAGGGCAGGGUUCGAACCCUCAACCUCAUGGUUCCUAGUUGGAUUCCUUUCUGCUGCGCCAGGACAGGAACUUCCGAAGCAGCAUUUUUAAUAAAAAUGUGCAUAUGCAAUCACUAAAGUCAUGACAAUGAUGAUUUUAUACCUUAUAAUGUACAGCACUAUAAUUCUCUUAAAGAACUUUCAUAGAGGAGUCCCCUCUUAUCCUCAGGGGAUACAUUUCAAGACUCGUAGCAGUAGGUGUGUAAAACCAGGGAUAGUCCAAACCCUGUCACUUUAGUUUUGGUCCAUACUUAAAUGAUUUUGGCACUAGUCUUUCAAAAUAUCCAUCAUCAUAUUGCAAAACUUCAGUGUCCUCUUGGAUGAUUUAUCUCAUUGCCUAAAGUCCUAGGUUCAUAGUUCUUCAAUCUCCUAAAAUCUAAGGAUCUUAACCUUGCAUUUUCUGAAUCUUAUCAACCAUGGAACUCUUUGAUUUCAAAACCCUAGGAUUCUAAUAUUAGUCUCUGACCACUACCUUCAGAUUCCUGCCAACCUGUACACAUGAACAGACAUCAAACAGAAACAGCAAAUUCAACAUAUCUAAGUAAUAACUGCUUAGAACCUGAACUAAGGUUGUGCCUCAGGCACCGCUCCAGCCCAUGCACCCUGUCCUGACCUUCUUGCUCGCCUCCCUGACAAGGAGCAGCAGCAGGUCCACACCAACUCCAGCUCCCACCAGCUCCCCUCCUUUAGAUUUUCUGGGUCCUAGAACAGGCACAUGUGCUACAACUUGUGAAAGGCACCAGCUUCCUCUUUAGGUGGCUCAUGUUGCCAAUUAGAUGCUACAAGAUCAAACAGGGUUCCCUUCUAUAACAUGAGUUCCAGUUUGUCUCCUCAGAUUCCAUUUUGUCCCCAUGGGUCCCAGUUCAGCUUUCCUUCCCCUAUUUCAGGUCAAAUUUCUCUCCCAACUACAUGUCCUACUUCAGACCCAUCACCAUGUGCAGAGAGGCCUUCCAGAAAUUACUUCCCAGUUCCUCUUCAGGAUGAUUAGCAACUUUUUCUGAUCCUUCCACCAUCACAUUUGGGACCUUUGUGUCUCUAGAUUCUCCCACAGAUUUGUACAAUCUAAUUCCUGUAAUAAAUCUAGUCUCUAUCAUUCAUAGUGGUUCUCCUUCCCUGAUCUGCAACCUAGACACCAGAAUAGACGCUUUUGUACAAAAUUCUAAGUCCUUUCUAUGGGGGAGAAAACAAGGUCUUAAAUGCAGAAGAAUCCAAAUCAGAAGAAAUUUUUAUAUUCUUAAACGUGUCUAAAAAAUUCUGAUUUGCUUAGAAAUAAAAGAAAGAGCAGGACUGAAAAACUAGGUGCUAGCCAUGGUUUUUAAUAGUGCCACAUCACUUAAGGAUGGUAUUUAUACCUAUUAACAUGCCUUUCUCUCCUUUCCAGAUAAAAUCCAAGAGACAGUGAUUUAACCUAAUUGAAAUAAUAAUUGAAAUAAUCGCUAACUGAAAUAAACAGAAUCACAAAUGAUUGUCUACUAAUUGGUCUUAUGCUUUCCACCACCAACUUCAAUCAAACAAUGCAUAGGAGAUUUCAGUACAAAAUAGAAGUUUAAGCCCAUUUAUUUAUUCAGCUUCUCUUCCUCUGUAGACCCCGAUAAGACUAUAGUAAAGCAUCUAAAAUUAUAAAAACAACAAUUAAAAGAACAGGAGGAGGACAAUCCACAAACAAGUACUUUGACACAUUUCUGGAAUAUGGAAAUUUGGAAAGAAUAUUUUCAGCUACAGCUGUAGCCUGAAAUAAAAGAGAGGGGGGCUGCAACAGAUAGGACAAA
Molecule: long non-coding RNA, 4750 nt
Filed under: Sus scrofa (pig)
Lineage: Eukaryota; Metazoa; Chordata; Mammalia; Artiodactyla; Suidae
Description: lncRNA (ENSSSCG00040005797.1)
Source: RNAcentral